AGUGAGGUGGCCGAGAGUUAGGCGAUAAAUUGUAAAUUUAUUCACGGAUUUAGAUCCCCUUUCUA
This 65-nucleotide transfer RNA is filed under the name Agrypninae sp. GTI-132. Its description in RNAcentral is "tRNA-Tyr". Lineage: Eukaryota; Metazoa; Arthropoda; Insecta; Coleoptera; Elateridae. The record is from RNAcentral.